UGCACCAAAUUAAGGAGCACUGUGGAUCCUGUCAAAGCUGAACCAAACCAAGUGAGUCAGAAAAGGCCAAACACAUUAAUCAUCAUGAGCGUCAUUCAGGUUUGUCUUAAUUGCACCAAAUUAAGGAGCACUGUGGAUCCUGUCAAAGCUGAACCAAACCAAGUGAGUCAGAAAAGGCCAAACACAUUAAUCAUCAUGAGCGUCAUUCAGGUUUGUCUUUAUCACUCUAAAUUUGCAUAGACUCUCUAGGACUGUCACUGCAUGAUACACACACUGAGGCACGUUGUUU
This 289-nucleotide long non-coding RNA is filed under the name Lathyrus oleraceus (garden pea). RNAcentral's name for it is "Pisum sativum (pea) long non-coding RNA (PSAT_LNC021558)". Lineage: Eukaryota; Viridiplantae; Streptophyta; Magnoliopsida; Fabales; Fabaceae. The record is from RNAcentral.